CCCUGUUAUUCAUUUUUAUGCAAUGCAAUGAUGGAAUUGUGAGGGAUUUUUCCAUGUUUCUGGUUGUGUUUUGUAUUCAUUUAUUUUGUGUAUUAUUUAUGACUUUAAGAAAUAUUUUUUUGAAAAAUGUACAAAUGCUUUUCUGUUGUCAUCUUGUUACAAACAAGGUGACUGUUUUUUUAAAUGUUUUUUAUUGAAACAACGUUUGUGGAUGAGUAAAAAAAUAAUAGGAAAUAUGUUUUGGGGUAAAGUAGUAAUGAAAGAGUUGUUUUGAUUUGUUUUAUGUAGUUAUAGUUUUAAUUAGCUGUUUUUAUGUUUAUGUAACCCACAAAUUUUCUUUCUUAUGAUCAUUUUAGUGCUUUUAACUCCGUUCUUAAACUUCUAACGCAACAUUUCAAUUUUUGGUUUAUUUUGUUUCAAAAAAGUUUAAGCUAAUAUUUUAUUUGAUGUCAAAGAACAGGAAUGUUUUCAAAGUUGUCAUUUUAGUUAACUUAAAUAACCUUGAUUUGUAUAAAUAUGAAUUGUAGAAAUAAUUUCAACAUUGACGUGAGUCAUACAUGCGUAUAAUCCUGUGCUCAGCCUAAUUCUGUCUAAUUUCUCCCAGAAUGAAACUAACGUCUAUCGGAGUCAAUCUCAUGUGUGAUGUCUGAAGACGAAGAGAUAUAAGCCACAGACACGUAAUCUUCAUCACAACAUGUCCUAAAGCUCUUGAUAAUUCUCAUCUCCAGCUAUUUGUGCUACGAGAGUCAGAGAUGACCUUAAUCAAGUCAUCAUCAUAUUAGAGACCUUGUGUGUGACCUGUGCCUACAUUUCAUAUGUAUUAAUAUAUGUGCGUCCGUGUGCGCUUAGUCAUUUUUCAGGUACAGAAGAACAGCUGAUGUGUUUGACAGGGGAAGGGGAGGACACAAGAGGUCUCUGCAAACAUCUCGCUGUUACUUAUAUCCCUUCAAACGGCGCCCUCACGUCAAUCCCAGCAUUCCCUUUGUCCGAAAGUUUGCCGAGAACAAACUUCACCCACGUCUUCAAAACCCGAUCGCUUUGCUUUAUUCUGAUCAAUGUGCUCCACGCUUCUACGCCGUGUCAGAGUGGGAAGAUAAAAAAGCAGAAGGGAAGGAGGGGGGUGGCGGGCGGACGGCUUACUUUUUAGAUGCCAAUUGUAUGCGUCUCUGUGGCUGCCUCACCUGUGUUGCUUUGAUCAUAGCUGAGCACGGGGUGGCGUUUGAUUCCGGGGUUACUUUGACAGCUCGCCGGCUGGCAGAGGCCUCUUGGAUGACUGAAGAUCAGAGGAGAGAGGCUGGAAAGCAGAAGUCCAGCCGAGAGAAGAUCAGAAGAGGCACAACUUCAACCGGAGGUAUUGUGAAGGUCAUCUCACUCCAAAGUUGAGCUACCAACAGCUUAUAACGGCACAUGUGUUUGGAUGAACAAGUGCACGUGCUGACAUGGCUUUUUUGUCCUCUUACAGAUUUCAAAUUGUAGGUAAUAAUUGUUUUUAAUAAACAAUUUGUUGUAAUAAAUUUCUAAAAUAUAUAUAUAUUUUGUUCAUAUUAUUAAAUAAACAAUUUGUUGAA
This is a long non-coding RNA of Triplophysa dalaica, 1568 nucleotides long. RefSeq lists it as uncharacterized. The record is from RefSeq and is a predicted model, not a curated record. The transcript has 2 exons. NCBI's taxonomy places the organism in Eukaryota, Metazoa, Chordata, Actinopteri, Cypriniformes, Nemacheilidae.